Long non-coding RNA from Harpia harpyja (harpy eagle), 1154 nucleotides. RefSeq lists it as uncharacterized. NCBI's taxonomy places the organism in Eukaryota, Metazoa, Chordata, Aves, Accipitriformes, Accipitridae. The record is from RefSeq and is a predicted model, not a curated record. The transcript is spliced from 7 exons.
UGAAUGCUCUGCCCUAGGUCACUCCAUCUGCAUUGCUCAGGCUCAAACUUGCCUGACUGAGAAACUCAUCCUUCUGAACAAGUUGCACAAGAGCCGUCACACAGUCUGGUACACCUGAGACAUACUGUGGAUGUAUAGAGCAUGCUGAGAUUGUGAAGAGGUGAGAAAUUCUAUGUACUUCUAAAGCACAAAUGAAUAUGAAGCAACAGGAGGGUGGAACUUGGAUGGUUCCAUGAUAGGAUGUCCCUGGAGGGAUGGAAGGACUGUGAUCUGUGGGAAAAAGGAUGGUGACAAGGGGCAGCUGCUGUAGAGGGUAUGAAGUGAACUGCCGGCUGGACCUUAAAGGGGAUGGAAAGAGCCUCCUAUGGACCAGAGAGGAUUAAAUUUGCUGCACUUCAGACAGGUCUUAAUUGUAAGCAACCCUGGAGCUGAUGACAUGCCUCCAAGGACACAGCAGGUUGUUCAGCUGCUACUGAGAAGAAUUGAAUGUUUGGAAAGGACUUCAAUCCACCUCCUGUCAGAGACUCUGCAUAUCUGACGGCCUUCUGACUGAUCCAAGCUAUGCUGUUCACGCAUCAGGAAUAAGGAAAAGGUUUCAUUUGGAAACUGGCACUGGAGAGGAACUGAAGGGCUGCUGAUGGAAGAGCUGUGGCUGCAACUACCGUCCCAAUGGAUGUCCUGUGCCCAGUGCUGUGCCCAGAAGCAAAGUUACCAAGGCUGACACAUUCAUCUGCUGCCAAUCUGAUCAGUGCCUGGAGAAAGCAGACGCGGGAGACACGAAGCAUCUUUCAGUUGCUGCUGGGAAUGUCCCACCAGCAGCAUGGGGCGGCUGAGAGACGGCUGUGGGGCACCGAGGGUCUGCAGGGAGGAAUCCUGAACUUAUCCAGUAAAUGACAGCUACCGCGAGGGCGAGGGCUGGAGGGGAAACCGAGAUAAACUGUAUCCACCAACCCCCUGGCAUUUGUGUGAAAAGCCUCCCACAUCCAAGAUCUGCUCUGCCUCUUAAAAUGUACAUAGCUGCUUCAGGAGAGAAACCAGGCCCUUGAACAAGAAGGAAUGAGAGAUGAUUCAUUAGGAAAAAGAAAGGAAUGUGGGUUUGCAGCAUGGCAAGAAAAGACUGUGACCCCCUCAGCUGCUCUGCACAAAGCAAUUUG